UGUGUGUGUGUGUAUGUAUAAGAUCAAGUCGUCUUACCGCUAGUACGCCUCAUUCACGAAGCCGGUCUAUAAGGGGCGGUAUAAGGUUGUUGCCUAUAAAAUGGCAACUUAAUGGGUGUUCCCUCUCACCCUCCGCUUCCUUGAUUGGUGGAGGGGCGUUAUCCGAACGGGUAAGACAAGGACAUAUAAAUUCUCUCCGCUUCCUUGAUUGGUGGAGGGUCGUUAUCCGAACGGGUAAGACAAGGACAUAUAAAUUCUCAUUAAAAUUACGAUGAAUAUUAUAAAGUAACUAAAUGUUUUAUUAAAUUCCCAAUCUUAGUUACUUUUGGAGAAAUGUGAAUAAGGUGCUAAUCCAUGAAAUUACACUUUACACUUUGAUUAAGUCGUUGGUGGAGCGUGUGUGGUAAACCGGCACACUAACUUGGACUUAACAAGGUAGGUAAAGGGUGACUUAAGGUUUAUCAUAGUAUCGAUGGAGCGUAUGUGGUUUACCGGCACAUCGAUUGAGUGACAAACUUUAAGGGUACCAAGUGAUUUGCAUGGUUACUUCACACCUCGUUUUGUGAUCCUUGGUAUCCCAGUCACAAAAC
RNAcentral lists this long non-coding RNA (590 nucleotides) under Lactuca sativa (garden lettuce). RNAcentral's name for it is "long non-coding RNA (LSAT_LNC001212)". Lineage: Eukaryota; Viridiplantae; Streptophyta; Magnoliopsida; Asterales; Asteraceae. The record is from RNAcentral.